RNAcentral lists this ribosomal RNA (456 nucleotides) under Triticum aestivum (bread wheat). Its description in RNAcentral is "partial small subunit ribosomal RNA". The record is from RNAcentral. Lineage: Eukaryota; Viridiplantae; Streptophyta; Magnoliopsida; Poales; Poaceae.
AUGCCCCUCCUCUUUCCCGCUCCUUCUUCGAAUCUGGUCGCCGAAGUGCUCGAGGAGGCGCUCGACUCGGCAUGCUCGCCGGCGACGCCGGGGCCCCUCCCUCCUCCUGGUGCCCUCACUGUUGCUGCCAUGAGCCUCUCCACCCUCUCCCGCGCGAUGGUCCGGGUCCAGAUGAUUGGAGCUGAUGCCGAUCCUAUCGAGAUCCGAGUGCCGAGAACGAGAGCCUCCUCCAUCUUCCCCUCCUCACCAAGGAGGCAAGGCAUUUCACCCUCGGUCUACAACAACAAGGACGAGUUCGAUGCCACGAACAACAACUCUGACGCCAAGAUGCAAGCUAAAAUGGAGGAGAUCAAAGCCCUCAUCAAGUCCUACAAGCAAUCUUCCUCAUCUUCGAGAAGACACUCAAGAGCACAUUCUUCCGAGUUACCAUCUACGGAAAGAUCACAUCGGCAUUGA